Molecule: transfer RNA, 107 nt
Filed under: Paracoccaceae bacterium
Lineage: Bacteria; Pseudomonadati; Pseudomonadota; Alphaproteobacteria; Rhodobacterales; Paracoccaceae
Also listed under: 1 other name
Description: Rhodobacteraceae bacterium tRNA-OTHER
Rfam family: tRNA
About the family: Transfer RNA (tRNA) molecules are approximately 80 nucleotides in length. Their secondary structure includes four short double-helical elements and three loops (D, anti-codon, and T loops). Further hydrogen bonds mediate the characteristic L-shaped molecular structure. tRNAs have two regions of fundamental functional importance: the anti-codon, which is responsible for specific mRNA codon recognition, and the 3' end, to which the tRNAs corresponding amino acid is attached (by aminoacyl-tRNA synthetases). tRNAs cope with the degeneracy of the genetic code in two manners: having more than one tRNA (with a specific anti-codon) for a particular amino acid; and 'wobble' base-pairing, i.e. permitting non-standard base-pairing at the 3rd anti-codon position.
Source: RNAcentral
CCCGGCGUAGCUCAGCUGGAUAGAGCGUCUGCCUUUCUACGAAAUCACAUUGCCAGCGUGAGAGUAGGGGUGGGAGGUCGCAGGUUCAAGUCCUGCCGCCGGGGCCA